Molecule: ribosomal RNA, 611 nt
Filed under: Actinomycetales bacterium A236
Lineage: Bacteria; Bacillati; Actinomycetota; Actinomycetes; Actinomycetales
Description: bacterial SSU rRNA
Rfam family: Bacterial small subunit ribosomal RNA
Source: RNAcentral
UGGCUCAGGACGAACGCUGGCGGCGUGCUUAACACAUGCAAGUCGAACGAUGAACCACUUCGGUGGGGAUUAGUGGCGAACGGGUGAGUAACACGUGGGCAAUCUGCCCUGCACUCUGGGACAAGCCCUGGAAACGGGGUCUAAUACCGGAUACUGAUCCUCGCGGGCAUCUGCGAGGUUCGAAAGCUCCGGCGGUGCAGGAUGAGCCCGCGGCCUAUCAGCUUGUUGGUGAGGUAAUGGCUCACCAAGGCGACGACGGGUAGCCGGCCUGAGAGGGCGACCGGCCACACUGGGACUGAGACACGGCCCAGACUCCUACGGGAGGCAGCAGUGGGGAAUAUUGCACAAUGGGCGAAAGCCUGAUGCAGCGACGCCGCGUGAGGGAUGACGGCCUUCGGGUUGUAAACCUCUUUCAGCAGGGAAGAAGCGAAAGUGACGGUACCUGCAGAAGAAGCGCCGGCUAACUACGUGCCAGCAGCCGCGGUAAUACGUAGGGCGCAAGCGUUGUCCGGAAUUAUUGGGCGUAAAGAGCUCGUAGGCGGCUUGUCACGUCGGUUGUGAAAGCCCGGGGCUUAACCCCGGGUCUGCAGUCGAUACGGGCAGGCUAGAGU